CACACGAUCUUUUCAAGUUGAGUCCAAAACUUUCCAUAUUUAUAAUGAACUCCCCAACCCAUUUUUAAGGUUGUCAUAAUCUUGGUCCAAUAUUCCGAAAUGCUUGUUCUCGUAGUCACAGACAAAUAGCAAGAAGGAAAAAAGUCUCAAAGUGUUUUCUUCCGCUCGUUUGAUUGAUUUCCUUCAAAAGGAAACGGACGAACAUCAAACCAAAUUAGCUAACCAUUUUCAUUUCCUGUUGGUUUGAAUAUUUUGAUGUGCCAAAGAAAAAAAAACGCCCAUUUUGAUUUUCAGUCACAUGAUAUGCUAAAGAGUUAAAACUCUGAUGGAACUUUUGCCCCUGGAACAGGUUUUUGAAUUUUAGGGUUUGUGUAUAAUGUUGAUACUAAGCAUGAAUACAAAGAGGCAGAGACGUCCAAAUGUUAGGUUAGGGGAAAUAGGAGAUACUUCUGCAGCAUUUGCAUGUGGGUUUUCUCAGGUUACUACUACUAAGGAAAAAUUAGGGCACAAGAGGUGGAAGAAUGAUUUUGGGAACCCUAGUGAGAGAGGGCAAAAUCUGAUUUGUGGGUUUUCUGAGAAGGACUCUGAGUUGACAAUUUCGGACCCCGGAGUCUCUCCGCGAAAUUCGGCUGACUCUCAACAGAACAGAGAGAACAAGAACCCGAACUCUUUGAGGGCUGUCGAAUUCAUGAGGUUAGAUCGAACUGGUAUGGUGAAAUCCACGUUAGAUUUCGGUAACAUAACCCGAAAAUGUAGGGUAAUGAAGCGGCGGGGGCAGAGUAGGAGAGGGUACAAUGGUGUCUUUGGAAGUGCUUGGGGUUCUACACGUAGUCCAGAGUUUAGCGAGCAAGACGGGAAAAGGAGUUUGAGGGGUACAAAUUCAACAUGUGUGAUGAAUACUACAAUUGUGAUGGUUUCAAGGGUAUGUCUGAUUGUGAAACGCCGGCCACAAGCAAGGAGGCUUACGAAUGUGAUGCCUAUGGAUCCAAUCAUGAUCUGCAUCGAAAAGGUGACUUCGGUGAUUACUGGAAUGAAGAUACGUGUUUUGAAGAGAAUGAAGCAACUAAAUGUGGUGGUGUAUGGGAUGAGAUAAAAUCUGAAGGAGGUGACACGAAUUGCGUUCGGACUUGGCUGGAGGAGAUGGGGUUCGGUAAGUAUGCUGAUGCUUUUGAAAUGCAUGAGGUUGAUGAAGAAGCUUUGUUGCUACUUACACUUGAAGAUCUCAAAGAGAUGGGAGUCUUCGCUGUUGGGCCUCGGCGGAAGUUGUAUAACGCAAUUCAACAGCUAAGAGGUGGAGAUCUUUCUGCUUGACUCCUUAAUCGUCUGAGAAUAUAUAGGGAGAAAGCAGUAGCAUUUUGCUGCAGCAUUCUGAGUGCAGUUGGCAAGUGAUAUGACAUCAACGCACUACCUGGAGAAAAUGAUAAAAAACCCAUGUGAGCUAAUUGAGUUGUACAGUAGUGGGGACCACUUCAACCCUUAUCAAUUGACACCUCAGUCAUUCUAUUGCCCUAAGAAGGAAGUGCUUUCUAGAAGAAGAGCAAAUAUAGAAGGAAAUCAGGCAGUACAGUAUCGAAAGAAAAACCAAGUACCAGAGACGUGAGAAAAGGAAGAAAAAUUCAAGAGAGAGAGCUGCAGAAAGGAGGAUCCGAAGGGAAGGACAAAGAGAAAUUCUAGAAGAUCCAAGAUUCAGCUCUUCAAUUCUUCUUCUUUCUAUUAGCUUGAUUCUUUUGUUAUUUUUGUUAUUAAUUAAGACAUGGAUUAUUCUGAAAAUUUGAUUUUUACAAUUACCUUUAUGAACUAAAUUAUUAAGUUAGAUCUGCUAAUAGAACCGAGGUUGUAAGGAUGAUGGUUGCUUAAA
Morus notabilis is the source of this 1858-nucleotide RNA transcript. It is a transcript of the gene named ankyrin repeat and SAM domain-containing protein 3, with no coding region annotated. The record is from RefSeq and is a predicted model, not a curated record. The transcript is spliced from 3 exons. NCBI's taxonomy places the organism in Eukaryota, Viridiplantae, Streptophyta, Magnoliopsida, Rosales, Moraceae.